CAUCAAACUGAAUGAUAUCACAAUGCAUAUUUUGAACAUGCCUUCCUGAUGCCUGUCUUGGACCCAGGACGAGCGCACUCGGGCUCCCCUCCCUAAUCUCCGUGAACUCCAGGAGGCCACUUCGCCUGGCUCAGUGGAGCCCUUCCCUGGAGCCAGCUGUGCAUCAUUUUAAGACCCAGUAAGAUGCCUUCCUGAUGCCUGUCUUGGACCCAGGCUCCCCUCCCUCGUCUCGGUGAACUCCCAGAGGCCACCUCGCCUGGCUCAGUGGAGCCCUUCCCUGGAGCCAGCUGUGCAUCAUUUUAAGACCCAGUAAGGACCAAAGGCUUGAGAACCACAACCAGAUGUUUUCUUCUCAGCAUUUGAAGGCCUGCCUGAAGUCUCAGUUCCUCAAGGACUGAUCCUAAGCUCUGUUCUGGUUACCGAACACCCACUGACCACAAAUAUGGAAGGACCCUGAUUGCAAUGGGUACCAUGUGAAAGGGGAAAUAAAUCAAUACAAAUGAUAAAACCCAUUGGACAUACAUCCUAGUUUGUAGUGUGUGUGAAUAUUCUAGGUGGUGAGACUGAGCCAACAUUGAGACGAAACAACUUUUUAAAAUCACUGCAUGAUAUU
This 613-nucleotide long non-coding RNA is filed under the name Pongo abelii (Sumatran orangutan). RNAcentral describes it as "lncRNA (ENSPPYG00000033642.1)". Lineage: Eukaryota; Metazoa; Chordata; Mammalia; Primates; Hominidae. The record is from RNAcentral.